UGACUCAACGCGGGAAAUCUUACCGGGUCCGGACAUAUCGAGGAUUGACAGACAGUUACCAUGCCCUUUCGAAAGGAGUCAGGUUUUAAACCUAAUGGCUCUUUCAUGAUUAUAUGAUAGGUGGUGCAUGGCCGUUCUUAGUUCGUGGAGUGAUCUGUCUGCUUAAUUGCGUUUCAAAUUUUUAUUUGAGGACCAGGUUUUGGUUUGGGUAGUGGUCCUACGAUGACUGUGAACUGUCAUGUCUUCGGAUGUGCGACUAUCGGUCUAGGAUCGCAUCUCAGCCCCUGGGACUCUUUUGAACGCAACGGACGUGAUUGCAACCCCUUGUUGAGAUUAGAGGAGUCUCGAUAUUCAUUGGCCAAACUUACCGCUUCGAGCUUGCUCGUGCAGUUUUGUUAGCCGGUGGAUAAACUCGGGGGACUGCUGACUAUAACCAUUUCUCAAAACAGAGGAAGGUGCG
RNAcentral lists this ribosomal RNA (460 nucleotides) under Globigerinoides ruber. RNAcentral's name for it is "SSU rRNA". It matches the Rfam family "Eukaryotic small subunit ribosomal RNA", at positions 1196 to 1449 of the family's 1831-position model. The record is from RNAcentral. Lineage: Eukaryota; Foraminifera; Rotaliida; Globigerinidae.